AUUUCAAAUGUCUGUCUUGUCAUCGAGUUAUGCAUAAUCAUUACAUUUUGCAUUCCAUACCUUAUUUUCCAAUAUAAAAUUCGGUAAUAUUUCUGAUGCCCUGAAUGCCACUGUGAUAUGAUUUGGGACAUUAAAUUGUACCUGUAAAUUAUACCUCCAGCGCUGGUAACUACCUGUGCUAUAUACGCGGAGAAUGUGGUCUGGUUUGUGUGUUUUUGCGAAAUUACGAACCAUGGAAGUUCGUCCAGCCAGAGAGAGACGAAAGUAAUAAUGCCGUGCACAUAGUGUCAGGCUCUAAGAAUUGCUGGAUUAGACUGAAGUUUUGGAAGGAAGAACGGAAGAAUAAACAAAAUGGUGGGCCCCACAAUGAUAACGAUAAUGGCAAUUAAAAAAACCGCAAGAGGAUGAUGCUCCUCUAGAAUUUGUUUCUUGCCGCAGGUAUAUCAAGAAUGUUAGAUUACUUUUGUUUGCAAACGCACACUUGAAUUACAAUACACAAAUACGAAACAAAAACACUACACAUUAAUUCCGCACUAAAACGUUCCAGUUUCCGUUUUUUCCAUUUAUUUUUGGGGUUUUUGUAAAAGUUAAAGUAGAAUCAGCGAUCUCACUGUGGGGAACGUUGGCAGCUUACUUCUUCUUGGACACACCCACAGUGCGACCGCGACGACCAGUUGUCUUGGUGUGCUGACCACGGACACGCAGGCCCCAGUAGUGACGCAGACCGCGAUGGGA
This is a long non-coding RNA of Drosophila miranda, 735 nucleotides long. RefSeq lists it as uncharacterized. NCBI's taxonomy places the organism in Eukaryota, Metazoa, Arthropoda, Insecta, Diptera, Drosophilidae. The transcript is spliced from 2 exons. The record is from RefSeq and is a predicted model, not a curated record.